CCUACGGGAGGCAGCAGUGAGGAAUAUUGGUCAAUGGACGAGAGUCUGAACCAGCCAAGUAGCGUGAAGGAUGACUGCCCUAUGGGUUGUAAACUUCUUUUAUAAAGGAAUAAAACGAGGCACGUGUGCUCUUCUGCAUGUACUUUAUGAAUAAGGAUCGGCUAACUCCGUGCCAGCAGCCGCGGUAAUACGGAGGAUCCGAGCGUUAUCCGGAUUUAUUGGGUUUAAAGGGGGCGUAGAUGGGUUGUUAAGUCAGUUGUGAAAGUUUGCGGCUCAACCGUAAAAUUGCAAUUGAUACUGGCAGUCUUGAGUGCAGAUGAGGUAGGCGGAAUUCGUGGUGUAGCGGUGAAAUGCUUAGAUAUCACAAAGAACCCCGAUUGCGAAGGCAGCUUACUAAGCUGUGACUGACAUUGAGGCUCGAAAGUGUGGGGAUCAAACAGGAUUAGAUACCCUAGUAGUC
This 460-nucleotide ribosomal RNA is filed under the name uncultured bacterium. RNAcentral describes it as "partial 16S ribosomal RNA". It matches the Rfam family "Bacterial small subunit ribosomal RNA", at positions 338 to 795 of the family's 1533-position model. The record is from RNAcentral.